CCUACGGGAGGCAGCAGUGGGGAAUAUUGGGCAAUGGGCGCAAGCCUGACCCAGCAACGCCGCGUGAAGGAAGAAGGCUUUCGGAUUGUAAACUUCUUUUGUCAGGGACGAAGCAAGUGCCGGUACCUGACGAAUAAGCCCCGGCUAACUCCGUGCAAGCAGCCGCGGUAAUACGUAGGUGGCAAGCGUUAUCCGGAUUUCCUGGGUGUAAAGGGCGUGUAGGCGGGACUGCAAGUCAGAUGUGAAAACCACGGGCUCAACCUGUGGCCUGCAUUUGAAACUGUAGUUCUUGAGUACUGGAGAGGCAGACGGAAUUCCUAGUGUAGCGGUGAAAUGCGUAGAUAUUAGGAGGAACACCAGUGGCGAAGGCGGUCUGCUGGACAGCAACUGACGCUGAGGCGCGAAAGCGUGGGGAGCAAACAGGAUUAGAUACCCCUGUAGUC
Molecule: ribosomal RNA, 443 nt
Filed under: uncultured bacterium
Lineage: Bacteria
Description: partial 16S ribosomal RNA
Rfam family: Bacterial small subunit ribosomal RNA
Source: RNAcentral